GAUGAAGAACGCAGCAAAAUGCGAUAAGUAAUGUGAAUUGCAGAAUUCAGUGAAUCAUCGAAUCUUUGAACGCACAUUGCGCCCGCUGGUAUUCCGGCGGGCAUGCCUGUUCGAGCGUCAUUUCAACCCUCAAGCCCCCGGGUUUGGUGUUGGGAAUCGGCUCUGCCCUUCUGGGCGGUGCCGCCCCCGAAAUACAUUGGCGGUCUCGCUGCAGCCUCCAUUGCGUAGUAGCUAACACCUCGCAACUGGAACGCGGCGCGGCCAUGCCGUAAAACCCCAACUUCUGAAUGUUGACCUCGGAUCAGGUAGGAAUACCCGCUGAACUUAAGCAUAUCAAUAAGCGGAGGA
RNAcentral lists this unclassified non-coding RNA (348 nucleotides) under soil metagenome. RNAcentral's name for it is "partial contains 5.8S ribosomal RNA, internal transcribed spacer 2, and large subunit ribosomal RNA". The stretch from base 1 to 120 matches the Rfam family "5.8S ribosomal RNA", at positions 35 to 154 of the family's 154-position model. The record is from RNAcentral.